UGCCAGACUCCUACGGGAGGCAGCAGUGGGGAAUAUUGGGCAAUGGGCGCAAGCCUGACCCAGCAACGCCGCGUGAAGGAAGAAGGCCUUCGGGUUGUAAACUUCUUUUCUCAGGGACGAAGCAAGUGACGGUACCUGAGGAAUAAGCCACGGCUAACUACGUGCCAGCAGCCGCGGUAAUACGUAGGUGGCAAGCGUUAUCCGGAUUUACUGGGUGUAAAGGGCGUGUAGGCGGGACUGCAAGUCAGAUGUGAAAACCACGGGCUCAACCUGUGGCCUGCAUUUGAAACUGUAGUUCUUGAGUACUGGAGAGGCAGACGGAAUUCCUAGUGUAGCGGUGAAAUGCGUAGAUAUUAGGAGGAACACCAGCGGCGAAGGCGGUCUGCUGGACAGCAACUGACGCUGAGGCGCGAAAGCGUGGGGAGCAAACAGGAUUAGAUACCCUAGUAGAC
This 452-nucleotide ribosomal RNA is filed under the name uncultured bacterium. RNAcentral describes it as "bacterial SSU rRNA". It matches the Rfam family "Bacterial small subunit ribosomal RNA", at positions 329 to 795 of the family's 1533-position model. The record is from RNAcentral.